RNAcentral lists this long non-coding RNA (2302 nucleotides) under Homo sapiens (human). RNAcentral describes it as "non-protein coding lnc-APELA-1:1". The record is from RNAcentral. Lineage: Eukaryota; Metazoa; Chordata; Mammalia; Primates; Hominidae.
GUUUAAAUUCAGCCUUUUAAAGACACAUAGGUGCUGCAUUUCUAUUGGAAGGUAAGAAUAUAUAAAGUUGCUUUCAGCACUGAUAAACACUGAUAAACUUCCAUAACUCAUUAUUAAAAAAAAAAUUAGGCAUGUGUUUAUUGGUGUGCUGGAUAGUAUUUCUUUGAUGUAUUUGUUUCUCCCUUGCCUCUCAAAUAUAGAUCUCUCUAGCUAACUUUACUGGAUCUAUCAGAAGAAGAAGAGGAGUGAAGGAAAGACACCCAGCCACACAAAAGAACUUCAUGAUGCCAACAGCGUGAUUGCUUAGAAGUUCCUACACAAAAAAAGGAUCAUUUGAAAGCACCUGGAAUGGUUUAUUAGCUUCACAGGAUUUUAUUCUUCUUGGCUUCUAUUUGGAGGGAAAAUAACAUAAAUUCAAAAGGAUUCCAAUCUGAAGCCCAAAUCGUUUGCCUACAUAACAAAAAUAUCUCAUCUUUUCCUGCACAUUAUUAUUCUUUUAUGGGUUAAAAAGAAAAAUACCUUUUAGUGUUUUAGAACUCUCUCAUGGUAAAAAGUGCAAGAAUUUAAAAUGUUGCUUUCAUAUUCCUAUAAUUCUCCAAAAGUAUUAAAUUCGUAUAUGUUUGAGUGAUUUUCUAAAAACUGCUCAACCUGAAAUCAAUUGCAUUGACCAUUUGGCUUCGCACAAUAGGGAGAAAAUAAUUGGUUCAUUGAUUAUAUAGAGAGAAAGACUAAGAAAAGCUAUUAAUUGCUACCAAUUUUAUGAUAAGCUUUAAGGUUUAUGAAAGUAUGUUUUUUUAUUUAAUGAGUAAUGUCCAUUUGAAGUUGAAAGAAAACAUGAAAUCCUAAUUGUAGUUCAUUUUAUGUUCAAAUGAAACCAUUGUUUUUGUUUUUGUUUUGAAACAGAGUCUCACUCUGUUGCCCAAGGUGGAGAGAAGUGGCACGCUUUUGUCUCACUGCAACCUCCACCUCCCGAGUUCAAGUGAUUCUCGUGCCUCAACCUCCCAAUUAUAGGCUGGGAUUACAGGUGUGCACCACUACACCCAGCUAAUUCUUGUAUUUUUUGUAGAGAUGAGGUUUUACCCUGUUGCCCAGGCUGGUCUUGAACUCAGGCUGGAACCAUUCAUUUUUUAACCUUUCUCAUCAUGUAAUUAUAGGAACCCAACGUUUGAUUUCCUUUGAAGUUUUGUUAUGUCCUUUAUUAUUUUGUAUGGAUAAUUUCUUUAAAAGUCUUACUUAAAGUUGACAUCUAAAAUACAGUUAUGCCAAUGAAGUCCCACUCAGGGUGAUAUCUGUAUCUAAAAGAUGAGUGCUCAUCAUCCUAUUAGGCUUUGUCUUGGUGGUGUUCAUCCUGAGAUGCUGAGACAUGGAAAUAAAAAAUCAGAAGGAAUUUAGGGAUAUGAUUACUCAAAAAAGAAACUAUCCUGUCUAAAUUUGAAUUGUGUUGAUAACUAGGUGUUCCCCAGAUGCUAAGAUGUUCUUAAUUUGUAUUUAUUGAAGGAUUGUUAGCUUAGUGCCACAAAAUUUUUCUUACUUUAUGUUAAUUCCAGAUAAGAAAUUUACAAGUUUAUAUCUUUUUUUUUCUUUUUUUUAAGAUGAGAUCUGGCUCUAUCACCCAGGCUAAAGUGCAGUGGCAUGAUCUAGGCUAACUCCCUGGCUCAAGCGAUCCUUCCACCUCAGCCUCCCAAGUACCUGGGACUACAGGCACUCACGGCCACACCUGACUAAUUUUUGUAUUUUUUUGUAGAGAUGGAGUAUCGCCAUGUUGCCCAGGUUGGUCUCAAACUCAGGCUGGUGAGCUCAAGUGAUCCGCCUCCUUGGCCUCCCAAAAUACUGGGAUUACAGGCAUGUGCCACCAUGCUGGGCCACAAGUUCAUAUCUGGAGUAGAAGUUUUACUUUGUAAAUAUUAUAAAGUAGAAGAAACCAUAAACCAUUUUGCUAAAAUGAAAGGUUGGGGUUAAUAUAAAUGUAAUUUUAAAUAGAAAAUCUGACAACACUGUCGAGUUUGUCUUCCUGUCAAAGCUUAUUAAAAGUGUCUUUGCGGAUGAAUGGUACUUUCCACAAGUGCAUUUGAGUAGAAGCAUAACCUAUUCUCAGUUAUAUUUAUGUUUAAAACAUGUACUGGUUUGUAUAUUUUGUACUGAAAAAGAAAACACUUUAUAGUCAAGAUACAUCUCAUUCAAUACAAGUCUAAACUCUUUCAAAUACAAAUUCGCAUAUUCACAGAAAAAGUUACAAAUCAGUUUUACUAUUGUAAAGUAAUGAAAUGGUUAUACAUUUCUUAAUUGUUCAAUAAAACACUCA